Molecule: long non-coding RNA, 1284 nt
Filed under: Serinus canaria (Common canary)
Lineage: Eukaryota; Metazoa; Chordata; Aves; Passeriformes; Fringillidae
Description: lncRNA (ENSSCAG00000001129.1)
Source: RNAcentral
GCUUUGUAAAUCACAGUUACAGCUUCCCACCAAACCUGACUUCUACUUUAUUUCAGAGACCUGCCAAAGGAAACCCUUGCACCUGUCAAUGACUUGUGAAGAGCCAUUCCUCAUUUCGGAGACCCCUGCCAGGAAUGGGAGAUUUACCCAUUUACCCAAGAGUAUCUAAGUUCCUCACACAAUCAGAAAAUGCCCCAAGCCCCUUCUGCAAUUGAUGUCCCCCCCGAGGAUGAUGUGUCACUACUUGAAGACUGAUCUCAGGAAGGACAAAUCAAUUCUGCAGUGAGUCCUGGUACUCCUUCUAACAAUCAGCAUUCCUGGUUCCCAGGGCUCUUCAAGGCCUAAAAAAAAGACCUAAAAACCUAAAAACCGAAUAUGCAUAUUCCCUGCAGUAUUUUCACUGCCUCAAGACAGACAAAAGGAUCUUGAAAAGUUCCUGCAUCCAUUCAGCAUGAGGGAUGUAGAUGGGGUACCACAUAUGGAUAAGCACAGGACACCAUUUAACCCAGUGCCUGCAAUGGUACCCAUCCAAGUCCUCUGCAGCACAAGGCCAUGAAUGUACUGCCAGAGGCAGGAGCCCAGGCACGGCAGGACUGGUCAGGCAGCUCCUGUCUCCUGUGCUCGGGGUGAUUCCUUUUCCAGUUCAGCUCUGUGCCGGGCCUUGCUCCUGCAGAUGUUGUGCCUGGUGCCACCUGAUGUGGGGCAGCUUUAAAGGAGGAGUCUCCUCUGAUGAGGACUGCAGAGCACUGCCACUCAUCCUACUUAGCACUUGGACAAAAUGUAGGACUGAACUCCAGAGAACAGGGUGGAGUUGGAAGUGGCAGUGGUGAAGAACUGCUCCGGGUCCUGUGGUGGCUGCAGAGGAAAGGAGAGCUGGCCCCAGGAGCAGAGGAGCUGUCCCCAGUGCUGAGCUGGCACAGAGGUGCUGCCUGCCUGCGGCCGGGAGCCGCUCCGUGGCAGCAGCUCAUUGAUCUUAGUCAUGUUAUUUCACUUUUUCUCUCCUUUCUCUUUCCCUUUUUACUGUUUGUUCUCCCCUUUCUUUCCCCUUUGUAAAAUAUUUCUUUGUUGCUGUGGGGUUUUUCCCUUCUCUCACCCUCACUGCUUUCCUGUCUUUUUUUAGUUUUUCUUUUUUCAGCUGCACAGCUGGGGCCACUCUGGCUGGUGCUGCUGCCAGGGAGCCGACUGCCCUAGGGGAUGUGCUCGUUCCUGAGUCUGGGGCCUGGGGCUCUCUGGCAUCAUAUUUAAUCGAAUAAAGGUUGUGUGGCAUUCCUAAGUUUGCUGGUC